CAAUAGCGUAUAUUAAAGUUGUUGCAGUUAAAAAGCUCGUAGUUGGACUUCUGCGGGUGGCGGCCGGUCGUGCUCGAAACGGGCGUGAACUUGGCGUGCUGCCCGCAUCUUUGGGGAGAUUGUGCGUGGCAUUAAGUUGUCGUGCAUGGGAUUCUCAUCAUUUACUGUGAAAAAAUUAGAGUGUUUAAAGCAGGCCUUUGCCUUGAAUACAUUAGCAUGGAAUAAUAAGAUAGGACCGUUGUCUAUUUUGUCGGUUUACAGAUGUCGGUAAUGAUUAAUAGGGAUAGUUGGGGGUACUCGUAUUCAGUUGUCAGAGGUGAAAUUCUUGGAUUUUCGGAAGACGCACGACUGCGAAANCANNNACCAAGGAUGUUUUCAUNAA
RNAcentral lists this ribosomal RNA (382 nucleotides) under uncultured eukaryote. RNAcentral describes it as "partial 18S ribosomal RNA". It matches the Rfam family "Eukaryotic small subunit ribosomal RNA", at positions 592 to 976 of the family's 1831-position model. The record is from RNAcentral.